UCCUCUCACAUUUCUCGUGACAUAUUUCCGGCACAUAUACUUCUAACAACAGUCCGUAACUCAUAUAUAUAUAUAUAUACAUGAUCAUUGUCAAUUUCCCACAACGAUAUUCUAAAAGGAUGUGUGAUCAAAGGUUAAUUCAUUUGGAGUCACUAAGCUUGGAUAAUAAGUAGAGGCAACCAGAGCAAAGGAGAACAGAGGCUGAGAAGCAAAGUAAAUCCAUGGGAGAGUGCAUAACUGCUGUCUUACUUUUUUCAAAGAAACCAGCAUCACAAUGACAUGGCCUAGUUUAGUUUUCAGCUCAUUCACAGUUUUUAUUUCUAACCAUCUUGGCCGUUCCUUUAAGGUGAAUAAUCCAAAUAAAUUUGAUCUAUGAGGUACUCUUUUCCCUGACAACAGUUUAGCAGUGUCAAGAUUGCUAAUAAAAAGCUCAUAGAGACCCAUUCCAAACACCAGCAUAACUGUUCCUAAAAGAUAGACAUCUAUGGCCUCUACCAGCAAUAUGAUCACUUUACCACGAUUCACAAAGUAUUCCAUGAAAGAUGAC
This 547-nucleotide unclassified non-coding RNA is filed under the name Hevea brasiliensis (rubber tree). Lineage: Eukaryota; Viridiplantae; Streptophyta; Magnoliopsida; Malpighiales; Euphorbiaceae. The record is from RNAcentral.